This 75-nucleotide transfer RNA is filed under the name Clostridium sp. Its description in RNAcentral is "tRNA-Glu". It matches the Rfam family "tRNA". From Rfam's summary of the family: Transfer RNA (tRNA) molecules are approximately 80 nucleotides in length. Their secondary structure includes four short double-helical elements and three loops (D, anti-codon, and T loops). Further hydrogen bonds mediate the characteristic L-shaped molecular structure. tRNAs have two regions of fundamental functional importance: the anti-codon, which is responsible for specific mRNA codon recognition, and the 3' end, to which the tRNAs corresponding amino acid is attached (by aminoacyl-tRNA synthetases). tRNAs cope with the degeneracy of the genetic code in two manners: having more than one tRNA (with a specific anti-codon) for a particular amino acid; and 'wobble' base-pairing, i.e. permitting non-standard base-pairing at the 3rd anti-codon position. RNAcentral also lists the same sequence under 4 other names. The record is from RNAcentral. Lineage: Bacteria; Bacillati; Bacillota; Clostridia; Eubacteriales; Clostridiaceae.
GGCCUGUUGGUCAAGCGGUGAAGACGGCACCCUCUCACGGUGCAAUCAGGGGUUCGAUUCCCCUACGGGUCACCA